Molecule: long non-coding RNA, 1741 nt
Filed under: Numida meleagris (helmeted guineafowl)
Lineage: Eukaryota; Metazoa; Chordata; Aves; Galliformes; Numididae
Description: lncRNA (ENSNMEG00000017279.1)
Source: RNAcentral
GCGUUAUUUACCUGCUAUCUUGGGGUUGCUGGCUUGAUUUCUGAAUAUUAUUUUUUAGAGUCCUCAGUGUGGCAAUUGAGAGAAUUAGUAUCUUACCUACAUUUACAGGGCAUUUUGAAUUCUGAUAGCUUGUAUCCUCUGGGACAUUCACCUCAAUUGGAGGCAGUCAGCAACAUCCUCUCCUAAAGGCAGCUUUGGGAAGCUGCAAAAGCUCUGCUGCUCAGCUGCCCGUGCUGUGGGAGAACGCCAGAAAAUCCCAGAAAUCUUGUGGAAAAAAAUGAUCACUAUCUGAAGGAGAAACAUGCAUCAGAGUACAGGAAACAACUGAUAUGUGAGAAGGAGCAAAAUUAAUCAUGCAACAGUAAAACAGUUUGGGACCCAAUAUUGUCACAAUGUUGAGUUCUCCAGAACUUUUUAUCAGGUGGCUGUGGCCUAGCUGGCAGGAAUAAAAAUGCUCUCUGUGAGCAGAAGGAUAUUAUUUAAGUAUCUAAAAACCGAUGUAGCUACCAAGCUUUGGCUUCUCAUUAUUUAAUCUAAACCUGCAUGUGGUAUAGCUUCUCUGACUUAGACAUUUGAUUCCUUCACAGAAAAUUACCAGGAGUAUGCAUUGGACGCGUGUAAAUUGUUUUAAUUUGGUUCUGUGUAUAGCACAAAUCACUGGUGCUGCCUGUGAGGAGUCAGCUUGGCACCUAUGUCUUGUCCUAAUAUUCAAUUCUCAAAGAAGGUGAAGAACAGAGUUCUAUUUAAUGCCACCAGGCAUUUUGUUGAAAGGAGAACACGUCGCUUCACUUUUUUACAGAAAAUAAAAUCAAAAUACACAGAAAAUGAAACCAAGAGAAAUGGCAACGGUCCCACUACUCCGGACUGCUUAUCUGCAAUUGCUGUGUGCAAGAAACUCCUAAUACAUGUUGUGAGGGUUACCUGAUACCAUGGAGGAACUUCUUAUGAAGACUUUCCUUUAGUGGAAUUCAUGGUAAUGUUACAUAUUGUUUUACAUCAUGUACAUUUUGAGUGAUGUUUUUUUCAAACUAACACCUUUAGUUUUUGCAUUUUGCUUCCUUCCUCAGCAGGAAUUUCCUAGCACUAGAGAGCAGAAGUGAAGGAGACUAAGAGUGACCAUGGACAACUGUAAGUUAAAACACUUCUCCUAGCCCAAGGUACUGUGCCAUUCCAGAGUUGGGGAGUUGUGAUUUAAAGCGCAUGUUGGAGACUGAUAAGGGUUAAUUUUAGGAAGAGGGCUAGGAUUCCCUGUCUAUUUUGUACCAGUGAAGUAUUUUAACUGUUUCAGAGGUGACUGAUUAUUUGUGUUGGGUUUCUUCUCCAAAUCACCCUUAGGAGGACCCUGUUUUUUCCAUACUUACAGCGGUUAUGAAGAGCCAAACCCCCUAGACCAAAGUUGUGCUUUGUGAGCAGUCGCUGCCAUGUUUAUCCUGCAGUGGAGGGAAGAUGCAGUGCAGAGAUGGCAAAACACAGGGGAAGAAAAAGCACACGGGUCAAAGGAAAUACUGGCAGCAUUUUCCCAGCUCUGAUACAAUUGCACUGUUCCUCAGGAUUUUAAUUUAUUCCUCAAAAAAGAGACUUCUAUGUAUAAAAGACAUUGUUUGCCUUAUUUUUAGUAGAAUUCUUGGCUGAUAAGUUCCCAUGGAUGCUGUAUUUUAUUCAAGCAUUAGUGCAUGUCUGGAGGUAUAAUGCUACACUGUGUGCCUCUUUGAGACAUCAUGAAAAUGCUCCUGAAAUGCCA